AAAUUUUUAUUAAAAAAAAAAAAAACAUUAAGAUGUAGUCAUCAAAAGAAGCAACUAUGAUCAUGUAGACAAAGAAGUCAAAGUACAUAGACAAGUACGGCCGGAUAAGACUAAAUAGAAAAGAACGGCUAAUACAGUGAUUAUAAGAGAUCAACAGCAAUUUCUCUAUGGUGGUAAGAUGUUUGUACCUGGGCAACUUUGAAGAGCUUAUCUAUACCUUUCAAAUUAAGAUGAGCAUUGUGCA
Molecule: long non-coding RNA, 244 nt
Organism: Hibiscus syriacus
Lineage: Eukaryota; Viridiplantae; Streptophyta; Magnoliopsida; Malvales; Malvaceae
Exons: 3
Source: RefSeq, a predicted model, not a curated record